AUUGAACGCUGGCGGCAUGCCUUACACAUGCAAGUCGAACGGUAACGGGCCUUCGGGUGCCGCCGAGUGGCGAACGGGUGAGUAAUACAUCGGAACGUGCCCGAUCGUGGGGGAUAACGAGGCGAAAGCUUUGCUAAUACCGCAUACGAUCUACGGAUGAAAGCAGGGGACCGCAAGGCCUUGCGCGGGCGGAGCGGCCGAUGGCAGAUUAGGUAGUUGGUGGGAUAAAAGCUUACCAAGCCGACGAUCUGUAGCUGGUCUGAGAGGAUGAUCAGCCACACUGGGACUGAGACACGGCCCAGACUCCUGCGGGAGGCAGCAGUGGGGAAUUUUGGACAAUGGGCGCAAGCCUGAUCCAGCCAUGCCGCGUGCAGGAUGAAGGCCUUCGGGUUGUAAACUGCUUUUGUACGGAACGAAAAGCCUUCUUUUAAUACAGGAGGGUCAUGACGGUACCGUAAGAAUAAGCACCGGCUAACUACGUG
This 482-nucleotide ribosomal RNA is filed under the name uncultured bacterium. RNAcentral's name for it is "partial 16S ribosomal RNA". It matches the Rfam family "Bacterial small subunit ribosomal RNA", at positions 30 to 507 of the family's 1533-position model. The record is from RNAcentral.